AGUGAACGCUGGCGGUAGGCCUAACACAUGCAAGUCGAACGGCAGCACAGUAAGAGCUUGCUCUUACGGGUGGCGAGUGGCGGACGGGUGAGGAAUACAUCGGAAUCUACUUUUUCGUGGGGGAUAACGUAGGGAAACUUACGCUAAUACCGCAUACGACCUACGGGUGAAAGCAGGGGAUCUUCGGACCUUGCGCGAUUGAAUGAGCCGAUGUCGGAUUAGCUAGUUGGCGGGGUAAAGGCCCACCAAGGCGACGAUCCGUAGCUGGUCUGAGAGGAUGAUCAGCCACACUGGAACUGAGACACAGUCCAGACUCCUACGGGAGGCAGCAGUGGGGAAUAUUGGGCAAUGGGCGCAAGCCUGAUCCAGCCAUACCGCGUGGGUGAAGAAGGCCUUCGGGUUGUAAAGCCCUUUUGUUGGGAAAGAAAAGCAGCAGGUUAAUACCCCGCUGUUCUGACGGUACCCAAAGAAUAAGCACCGGCUAACUUCGUG
Molecule: ribosomal RNA, 492 nt
Filed under: uncultured bacterium
Lineage: Bacteria
Description: partial 16S ribosomal RNA
Rfam family: Bacterial small subunit ribosomal RNA
Source: RNAcentral